This 79-nucleotide transfer RNA is filed under the name Clostridia bacterium. Its description in RNAcentral is "tRNA-Met". It matches the Rfam family "tRNA". Rfam says of the family: Transfer RNA (tRNA) molecules are approximately 80 nucleotides in length. Their secondary structure includes four short double-helical elements and three loops (D, anti-codon, and T loops). Lineage: Bacteria; Bacillati; Bacillota; Clostridia. The record is from RNAcentral.
GCGGAAGUAGCUCAGUUGGCAAGAGCGCGGGAUUCAUAGGUCCCGAAAGUCGCUGGUUCGAGUCCAGCCUUCUGCACCA